GAUUGUGAUCACUACUUCAAUAACAGCAAAGCUCUUAAAGAAGCAAUGUGUUUCAUGAUGGAUCCUGUCCUUGGCAAGAAAACAUGCUAUGUACAAUUCCCUCAGCGUUUUGAUGGCAUUGACUUGCAUGAUCGAUAUGCCAAUCGCAAUAUUGUGUUCUUUGAUAUCAACUUGAAAGGGCUAGAUGGCAUCCAGGGUCC
RNAcentral lists this unclassified non-coding RNA (200 nucleotides) under Hevea brasiliensis (rubber tree). The record is from RNAcentral. Lineage: Eukaryota; Viridiplantae; Streptophyta; Magnoliopsida; Malpighiales; Euphorbiaceae.